Molecule: ribosomal RNA, 497 nt
Filed under: uncultured bacterium
Lineage: Bacteria
Description: partial 16S ribosomal RNA
Rfam family: Bacterial small subunit ribosomal RNA
Source: RNAcentral
GAUGAACGCUGGCGGCGUGCCUAAUACAUGCAAGUCGAGCGAACGGACGAGAAGCUUGCUUCUCUGAUGUUAGCGGCGGACGGGUGAGUAACACGUGGAUAACCUACCUAUAAGACUGGGAUAACUUCGGGAAACCGGAGCUAAUACCGGAUAAUAUUUUGAACCGCAUGGUUCAAAAGUGAAAGACGGUCUUGCUGUCACUUAUAGAUGGAUCCGCGCUGCAUUAGCUAGUUGGUAAGGUAACGGCUUACCAAGGCAACGAUGCAUAGCCGACCUGAGAGGGUGAUCAGCCACACUGGAACUGAGACACGGUCCAGACUCCUACGGGAGGCAGCAGUAGGGAAUAUUGCGCAAUGGGCGAAAGCCUGACGGAGCAACGCCGCGUGAAUGAUGAAGGUCUUCGGAUCGUAAAACUCUGUUAUUAGGGAAGAACAUAUGUGUAAGUAACUGUGCACAUCUUGACGGUACCUAAUCAGAAAGCCACGGCUAACUACGUG